Molecule: ribosomal RNA, 552 nt
Filed under: uncultured cyanobacterium
Lineage: Bacteria; Bacillati; Cyanobacteriota
Description: bacterial SSU rRNA
Rfam family: Bacterial small subunit ribosomal RNA
Source: RNAcentral
UCUGAUUAGCUAGUUGGUGGGGUAAAGGCUUACCAAGGCGACGAUCAGUAGCUGGUCUGAGAGGACGAUCAGCCACACUGGGACUGAGACACGGCCCAGACUCCUACGGGAGGCAGCAGUGGGGAAUUUUCCGCAAUGGGCGAAAGCCUGACGGAGCAAUACCGCGUGAGGGAGGAAGGCUCUUGGGUUGUAAACCUCUUUUCUCAGGGAAGAAGCUCUGACGGUACCUGAGGAAUCAGCAUCGGCUAACUCCGUGCCAGCAGCCGCGGUAAUACGGAGGAUGCAAGCGUUAUCCGGAAUGAUUGGGCGUAAAGCGCCUGCAGGUGGCUUUACAAGUCUGCUGUCAAAGACUGAGGCUUAACUUCGGAGAGGCAGUGGAAACUGAAAAGCUAGAGUGCGGUAGGGGUAGAGGGAAUUCCCGGUGUAGCGGUGAAAUGCGUAGAGAUCGGGAAGAACACCAGUGGCGAAAGCGCUCUGCUGGACCGCAACUGACACUCAUGGACGAAAGCUAGGGGAGCGAAUGGGAUUAGAUACCCCAGUAGUCCUAGCCGU